Long non-coding RNA from Phacochoerus africanus (Common warthog), 915 nucleotides. RefSeq lists it as uncharacterized. Lineage: Eukaryota; Metazoa; Chordata; Mammalia; Artiodactyla; Suidae. The record is from RefSeq and is a predicted model, not a curated record. The transcript is spliced from 4 exons.
CCUGCCGGGGCGUUUCCGGAAUAACAGUGGCUCUGCGAGUCCAAGAAAGGUUAAAGGCUCACGUUGAAUAUAAAUCUCUGGGAUUCCUGCUGAUAGUCCAGUGGUUAAUUUUACUGCGUCAAUAUCCAAGCCAACUAUUGUUAUGAUAAUCCCCUAUGUCUUAGAGCUGAAACAGGGUGGAGAAACAAGCUCCAAGAGGUCUCAGGCAGUGACGCUCUGCACCACCACAGGAUGGACCAGUUCAUGAGGGGAAGAUUGAUGUGAAGUGGAGACGUGAAGCCAGCAGGCACAAACUGGAAGCUGUGUGAAUGGAUGUACUAGAAGCCCUGCUUGCCGCCUUGGCCUCUCGUGCUUCCAGUCCUCCAACUUCGAUGAUGAAGCUGACCUAGAGAAGAGCUGGUGCACUUUGCUGUGGAGUUUCAUCCAAACCUAAUAAGCAUUCAGAGAAGCUGAAGAAGCAGUUGAAGCUGGAGGCUGAGCUGCAGCCUUGCAAUGUCAGGUCAGCCAGCAGAGGCACUGUCUUGUGUGUGAGCUACCACAGUGCCAGGCCCUACAUCAACCUUCUAACUUCCGAUAAACACGGCCACCAGGUCACUUCCGUCUUCCAAAUGUUGCCUAGGUUUUCUGGGAUGCACAGUUCCAGCUUAGCUACACUGACAUCACACAAAACCACCAGCCAGCAUAAUAAGGAGCACAGCCGGGCAAUGCAUAGAAAGCAUUUGUCUAUCUGUAAUGGCAGAGUCUGGCCAUCUGAGGAUGUGUGUGCAACAGGUGCACAGAACUCAUGCAAAGGUAAGGGAAGUUUAUAAAUCAGUGAUACUAGGUGACUAAUAAAAAUGGAUCAACUCCAGAAUAAAUUUUUUUUGGCUUUUUAGGGCUGUACCAGCAGCAUAUGGAGGUUCCCAGGCCAGGGGU